RNAcentral lists this ribosomal RNA (253 nucleotides) under uncultured bacterium. RNAcentral's name for it is "partial 16S ribosomal RNA". It matches the Rfam family "Bacterial small subunit ribosomal RNA", at positions 524 to 776 of the family's 1533-position model. The record is from RNAcentral.
UACGUAGGGGGCAAGCGUUGUCCGGAAUCAUUGGGCGUAAAGAGCGCGUAGGCGGUCCGAUAAGUCCGCUCUGAAAGCCCGGGGCUCAACCCCGGGAGGCGGGCGGAUACUGUCGGGCUAGAGUCCGGAAGAGGCGAGUGGAAUUCCUGGUGUAGCGGUGAAAUGCGCAGAUAUCAGGAGGAACACCGAUGGCGAAGGCAGCUCGCUGGGACGGUACUGACGCUGAGGAGCGAAAGCGUGGGGAGCGAACAGG